Molecule: transfer RNA, 72 nt
Filed under: Araneus ventricosus
Lineage: Eukaryota; Metazoa; Arthropoda; Arachnida; Araneae; Araneidae
Rfam family: tRNA
About the family: Transfer RNA (tRNA) molecules are approximately 80 nucleotides in length. Their secondary structure includes four short double-helical elements and three loops (D, anti-codon, and T loops). Further hydrogen bonds mediate the characteristic L-shaped molecular structure. tRNAs have two regions of fundamental functional importance: the anti-codon, which is responsible for specific mRNA codon recognition, and the 3' end, to which the tRNAs corresponding amino acid is attached (by aminoacyl-tRNA synthetases). tRNAs cope with the degeneracy of the genetic code in two manners: having more than one tRNA (with a specific anti-codon) for a particular amino acid; and 'wobble' base-pairing, i.e. permitting non-standard base-pairing at the 3rd anti-codon position.
Source: Rfam by way of RNAcentral
GCGUCGGUGGUAUAACGGUUAGCAUAGCUGCCUUCCAAGCAGCUGACCCGGGCUCGACCCCCAGCCGACGCA